UCUAUGAGACAUCCUGGACCUGGAACACUCAGCAUUUCUAAACAUGAUGGUUCUAGGACUUAACAUUUGAGCCCUCAAAAGCAUGGUCGCCCCUGCUACAACAACUGCCUUGGACCUGUGAGCAUGAGCCAAAACCUCUUACUUGGUAAGGAUGAGGUCAUAUCAAUGUACAUCACAGGAACUGGCUUACAAAGAAGAUUCCCCCAGAAGCACAGAUGGAGGUGGGGCCUGAAGAGCUACUGAAGCUAGGGAACAGCUCCUCAACUCCAGUUUACAAACAGUCUGUGUUUCUAUACUCCAUCUAAAUUAUCUGCCCAUGAGCCAAUUUUCCACAUACAGAAUAUUUCCUUUAUGGCUGGAUAGACGUCUUGAUGAGUGUUUGUAAGGUUUCAGAUACUAAUGAUUGUAUCCCCACAACACUCUGGCAAGGGUUAGAGGAGACCAUCACAAAGGCAAAAUGAACAAUGAGUGGAGAGGGAGCUCAGUUCGGCCGGCAUAAGGAACGAGGAAAGGACAUGCUUUCAGAUGGGAUUCGAAAAGCAGAUGGAGGGUCUAUGGGGCAGAGAUGUACACAAAGGCCGUUCCUGAGGGCAGGAGCUCCUGUGGAGAGGGCUCUUGCACAGUCAACCUCCACACUCUGCGAAGGGCCAGGGAGGAAGAUGCUGCCAGACAAAGGGAGGGAGCAGGAAGAGAGGAGAAAGACAAGGAAGAAGAGGUUUGUCCCAUCACAGCUUGAACUCUAGGGGAAAGGGAUAAAAAUCCCUGUCAAGAAGAAAUUGUCAUCACUGUGCUGCUUGGAAUUUGGAGAGUGCAACAUUUCUAAGCAUAAGCAAGGGAUCCCCAAGCCUGAACACUGUUGUGAUUUUUGGUGUAAGGGACCAUCUAUCACAAAGGUAGCCUUGCCUGGGUGGCAAGAUAGACUGGAGUGCCCAAGAGGACUGUCUGUGACUCCAUGUUAAAACAGUUAUAGUGCUUGAGGAGUUGUGUUUGUCACCAGAGGACAGACAAGGAGAUAAACUUCAAUGUGACUUCUGCAUCCGUGCAGAUUGGGAUUGAGGAGACUAGCAAUGCAAAAAACAAAACAAAAUUACAUGCUUAUCUCUGAUAACUGAUGCUCUGAAUGUCCUUAAAUUCUUAACAGUAGAUAUUGGGAGACAUCAAAAUACCAGUACUACUCUUUUAGUCUGCAAACCCCUGCGAUGUGGAGAUCAGCAUUAAUAGAGCAGUCACAUUCCACAUGGCUUGUCAAACUGGAGUGGCACCAAGCUUGACUGCAAUCUAUUUCACAAGCAAAGAGAGACAGCCUUGGCAUGCUCAGGUCAAAAAUGAAGAACUGACUAAAAGCCCUGGCAUUCCCGAGCAAUACAGUGUAGUAAUUCAUACACUCGAAUCACAUCAUAAGCAAAACAGAAGCUAAAUAAAUACUA
Molecule: long non-coding RNA, 1427 nt
Organism: Mauremys mutica (yellowpond turtle)
Lineage: Eukaryota; Metazoa; Chordata; Testudines; Geoemydidae
Exons: 6
Source: RefSeq, a predicted model, not a curated record